This 400-nucleotide ribosomal RNA is filed under the name Theileria annulata. RNAcentral describes it as "SSU rRNA". It matches the Rfam family "Eukaryotic small subunit ribosomal RNA", at positions 504 to 941 of the family's 1831-position model. The record is from RNAcentral. Lineage: Eukaryota; Apicomplexa; Aconoidasida; Piroplasmida; Theileriidae.
UGUAAUUGGAAUGAUGGGAAUUUAAACCUCUUCCAGAGUAUCAAUUGGAGGGCAAGUCUGGUGCCAGCAGCCGCGGUAAUUCCAGCUCCAAUAGCGUAUAUUAAAAUUGUUGCAGUUAAAAAGCUCGUAGUUGAAUUUCUGCUGCAUUGCUUGUGUCCCUCUGGGGUCUGUGCAUGUGGCUUUUUUCGGACGGAGUUUCUUUGUCUGAAUGUUUACUUUGAGAAAAUUAGAGUGCUCAAAGCAGGCUUUCGCCUUGAAUAGUUUAGCAUGGAAUAAUAAAGUAGGACUUUGGUUCUAUUUUGUUGGUUUUAGGUACCAAAGUAAUGGUUAAUAGGAACAGUUGGGGGCAUUCGUAUUUAACUGUCAGAGGUGAAAUUCUUAGAUUUGUUAAAGACGAACU